CAUUUCACAGCUGAAGAUGAGGGUGUAGCUCCUUGUAUGAGACAGGCUUAACCACAAGAAACUCAGCUAAUUCAUGUCAUGAUAAAAUUUCUGUUUGGACAGUAAACAUUUCAUAUGUUCAUCGGCCAAAUAAGUCACAUAGUUGGGUCUGAGAUUGAGGGAAAAUGUAUGUUGUAUAUUGGGAGGCACAGUAAAUCACUUAGCAAAUGUAUGUUUACACUUUUCUUGUAGGAGAAAGAGAAAUUAAUGAGAUCAAUAAAGCAAUCUACUAUAUCCUCACUGCCCCUUCUCAAACAUAAAAGGAGACUGUGUUUCUCAUUGGUUCAUUUUAUUUUUUACGUGUACUAGUUGUGGUGGAAAGAAGAAUGAUCUUCCCAGAGAUAUCGUCAUCCUUGUCUUUGGUAUCUCUGAAAUGUUCCCUUACUGGGCAGAGGAAUUUGUAGACACACUGAAGGUAAAAACCUUGAGAUGGGGAGAUUAUCCUGGAUUACACAGGCGACUACAACAUAAUCAUAUGAAGCCUUAAGAGUUAAAGAGAAAAGCAGAAGAGAGAGUCAGAGAGAUGUGACCUGAGGUGUUGACCUGCUGUUGCCGAUUUCGAAGAUGGAAAAUGGAGGGUUCAAGCCAAGGUGUGUAGUCAGCCCCUAGAAGCUAGAAAAGGGAAGGCGACAGAUUCUCCCCUAAAGCUUCCCUGAAGACACAU
This 703-nucleotide long non-coding RNA is filed under the name Sus scrofa (pig). RNAcentral describes it as "lncRNA (ENSSSCG00070011930.1)". Lineage: Eukaryota; Metazoa; Chordata; Mammalia; Artiodactyla; Suidae. The record is from RNAcentral.